RNAcentral lists this non-coding RNA (108 nucleotides) under Enterobacter cloacae. Its description in RNAcentral is "antisense sRNA RprA". It matches the Rfam family "RprA RNA". Rfam says of the family: Translational regulation of the stationary phase sigma factor RpoS is mediated by the formation of a double-stranded RNA stem-loop structure in the upstream region of the rpoS messenger RNA, occluding the translation initiation site. Clones carrying rprA (RpoS regulator RNA A) increased the translation of RpoS. RNAcentral also lists the same sequence under 15 other names. Lineage: Bacteria; Pseudomonadati; Pseudomonadota; Gammaproteobacteria; Enterobacterales; Enterobacteriaceae. The record is from RNAcentral.
ACGGUUAUAAAUCAACACCUUGGUUUAUAAGCAUGGAAAUCCCCUGAGUGAAACAACGAAUUGCUGUGUGUAGUCUUUGCCCAUCUCCCACGAUGGGCUUUUUUUUCG